UUAGAUUUUAUUUAUUUGUAUUUUUUGUUAUUUAUUUUGUUUAUUAAAAGUAAUUAUAAAAGUUAGUGUUUUAGUAUUUUAUAAAGAAAAGAUAAUUUUUAUUAUAGUUGAUUAGUAAGGUGACUGAAUAUUGAAAUAUUUUGAAAAAUUUUUAUUUUAGAAGUAGAUUUGUUUUAUUGUACCUUGUGUAUCAGGGUUUAUCAAAUAAAUAAUAUUUAUUUAAUAUUUUUCUCGAAUUUGGAAGAGUUAAUAAAUUAUGUUAGUUAAUGUGGAAUAAUUAUUAAUCAUAAUUUAUUAGAAAUGAAAUGUUAAGCGUUUUCAAGGAUAUCUAGUUUUCUUAGAAAUGAAUUUAAUUCAGUAUUUUUGAUUAAAUUAUAUAAUUUGUUAUGUGAUUUUUAUUAAAAAUAUAAUAUUUUGUGGGAUAAGCUACAAUAUAUAAUUUUAAAAAUGAAUUAUUUUUUAAUGAAAUAUAUGCUUAGAAAUAGCAAUUAUUUUUGUGUUUGUUAUAAUUUAUUAAUUUAUUUAUAUUAUUUAUUAAUUUUUAAGUUUUUAUAAGAUUAUGUGUUUUAACUAAUAAAAUAUAUAAAUAAUGAUAGAAUUAGUAUAUUAAUUUGUGGUGAUUUUAUUGUUUUUGAGGUUUUUAUAAAGAAUUCGACAAAUAUUAUUUCUGCCUGUUUAUCAAAAACAUGUCCUUUUGAAUUAAAUUUAAGGUCUGAUCUGCCCACUGAGGUAAUUUAAAUGGCCGCAGUAUUUUAACUGUGCAAAGGUAGCAUAAUCAUUAGUCUUUUAAUUAAGGGCUUGUAUGAAGGAUUUGACGAGACAUAGAUUGUUUCAUAAAUAUUUGUAGAAUUUAAUUUUUUAGUUAAAAAGCUAAAAUUUUACUAAAAGACGAGAAGACCCUAUAGAUCUUUAUAAUUAAUGAAUUUUAUCAAUAAGGUAUAAUUUAGAUAUAAUUUAUUAUAUUAUUUUAUUGGGGUGAUAGUAAGAUUAAAUUAACUCUUAUAUAUUGUUAUUCAUAAAUUAAUGAUUAAUUGAUCCAAUAUUAUUGAUUAUUAUAAUAAGUUACCUUAGGGAUAACAGCGUAAUUUUUUUGGAGAGUUCAUAUCGAUAAAAAGGAUUGCGACCUCGAUGUUGGAUUAAGAAAUAGUCUUGGGCGUAGCCGUUUAAGUUUAAAGUCUGUUCGACUUUUAAAUUCUUACAUGAUCUGAGUUCAAACCGGCGUGAGCCAGGUUGGUUUCUAUCUUUAGUAAUAUAAAAUAUUUUAGUACGAAAGGGCCAAAUAUUUGAAAUUAUUUUUUUUAAUUGAAUACUAUUAAUU
RNAcentral lists this ribosomal RNA (1318 nucleotides) under Trichophthalma punctata. Its description in RNAcentral is "large subunit ribosomal RNA". The stretch from base 879 to 1250 matches the Rfam family "Archaeal large subunit ribosomal RNA", at positions 2147 to 2719 of the family's 2987-position model. The record is from RNAcentral. Lineage: Eukaryota; Metazoa; Arthropoda; Insecta; Diptera; Nemestrinidae.